This 468-nucleotide ribosomal RNA is filed under the name uncultured bacterium. RNAcentral's name for it is "partial 16S ribosomal RNA". It matches the Rfam family "Bacterial small subunit ribosomal RNA", at positions 28 to 507 of the family's 1533-position model. The record is from RNAcentral.
GACGAACGCUGGCGGCGUGCUUAACACAUGCAAGUCGAACGGAAAGGCCCUGCUUUUGUGGGUUGCUCGUGUGGCGAACGGGUGAGUAACACGUGAGUAACCUGCCCUUGACUUUGGGAUAACUUCAGGAAACUGGGGCUAAUACCGGGUAGGAGCUCCUGCUGCAUGGUGGGGGUUGGAAAGUUUCGGCGGUUGGGGAUGGUCUCGCGGCUUAUCAGCUUGUUGGUGGGGUAGUGGCUUACCAAGUGUUUGAGGGGUAGGCGGCCUGAGAGGGUGACCGGCCACCUGGGGACUGAGAGACGGCCCAGACUGCAACGGGAGGCAGCAGUGGGGAGUAUGACACAAUGGGCGGAAGCCUGAUACAGCAACGUCGCGUGCGUGAUGCCCGCCUACGGGUUGUAAACCGAUGUCGAAUGUGACGAAGAGUGAUUGACGGUAAUGGGUAAGGAAGCACCGGCUAACUACGUG